GACGGGGAGGUUUGGCACCUCGAUGUCGGCUCAUCGCAUCCUGGGGCUGUAGUCGGUCCCAAGGGUUGGGCUGUUCGCCCAUUAAAGCGGUACGCGAGCUGGGUUCAGAACGUCGUGAGACAGUUCGGUCCCUAUCCGUCGUGGGCGCAGGAAAUUUGAGAGGAGCUGUCCUUAGUACGAGAGGACCGGGAUGGACGCACCGCUGGUGUACCAGUUGUCUUGCCAAAGGCAUCGCUGGGUAGCUAUGUGCGGACGGGAUAAGUGCUGAAAGCAUCUAAGCAUGAAGCCCCCCUCAAGAUGAGAUUUCCCAUAGCGUCAAGCUAGUAAGAUCCCUGAAAGAUGAUCAGGUUGAUAGGUCAGAGGUGGAAGCGCGGUGACGUGUGGAGCUGACUGAUACUAAUCGAUCGAGGACUUAACCUA
Molecule: non-coding RNA, 420 nt
Filed under: Mesobacillus campisalis
Lineage: Bacteria; Bacillati; Bacillota; Bacilli; Caryophanales; Bacillaceae
Description: Bacillus campisalis Bacterial large subunit ribosomal RNA
Rfam family: Bacterial large subunit ribosomal RNA
Source: Rfam by way of RNAcentral